UUAGCAGCACACAUCACCAGUGUCCAGAUGGAAAUAUGUUUAGCUUUUGAGUGUUUCUGGUCUCAGUAAUAGGGCUGUCUUCCUAUUGGAGUUUAAUGUAGGGGAUUCUGGAUUUUGAGUAUUGAUGCUUCCACUGAAUGAGAUGGAUGUUGUCAAGCCAGAUUGUUAAAUUAAAUAUUGAAUGCAUGUAAUGGUUUUUAUUUUUUUUCAGAUCUGGCCUUAUUUGAUUCCCAUUGUAUUUCUAUAUAAAGAAAUAGAGGGCUAGUCAUGCUGCAUAAUUAUUUACUGUCCAUGUAACGGCAAUUUCUUCUUACAAAUGAUUUUUUUUUUUUUACCAUUUCAGUGUCUACCUUAAGCUUGGUUUGCUUUUAGCUGUUUUCAAUAUUUCUCCUGGGGCCUGGAAAACACCCCUGGACAUUGAUGGAAACCAUAUACUAUUUCCUCAGAAUGGAAGGUCGAUCCUACCAAUAUCUCUGAUAUCCCUGCCAAACCAAUUCAAGAUCUUAUAGAAUCAUUCAUGCUGGACACCUUUACAUACCUUGAAAGUAAACCAGUGUUUCACAAAGUGAGUCCUGCACCAGUUGCAUUGGUAUCACCCAGGAGCUCUUAGAGAUACUUUGGAAUUAAGUCACAUAGGAAUAUGUGAUUUUUUUUUUCUUCUGUGAAAAUGUAUCCCAGGAGGUCACAGUGGUCUCCCUCAGGACUGGAUAUGGCUCCCUAUACCCUGGUGACCUAAGAACGAAAAGGACAAGAUAUCUGUCCCUAUAUCCAAUAGGCAAUGGUGGAGUGUCUGAUCCUCUAUGGAUAUAAAACUGCCUUUCCUGUCUUCCUUCCUUCAGGACCCUACUUCCCUGGUGAGAGGCUGGAAAAGUUAGCCCUUGAAGAAAAGCUGUUCGUGGCUACAAAUGGUCUACUGAAUUUCCUCUUCCAAACCAGUGCCUUGUGAACCCAGUUGUUCUCUAUAGUCAAAGGAAUAACCCAUGUUUGAAUUUUAGUUCAGGACUUGAUGAAAAGGUCUGGCAGAGUUCUGUGCUAGGUGCUGCUAACUCAUCCAGGAAAUAGGCUGGCCCUGCUUGGGAAUUUCAUGGACAAUGGGAUUUCACCAUUCAUAGACAACAGCAAAACUGUGGUAACUAGCUUAACCCUCUUACAAUGGCACAGCUGAACCAAAUACAAAAGUUAAAAAAAUAAAUCAGCAUAUUGACUUCUUUGCUCAGAGUCUGUCAGGAAAAAUGAUGUGCAUUAUUGUUGAAAGUAAGGAUUGUGCACUAAUUAUAAUAGUAAUAGCAAUGAUGCUUAAUUUGCAUAGCAAGUUACAAGCUGACAGAUUGUGUGUGUGUCUAUAUACAUACAUUGUUUAUACAUGUAGACACACAUAUAUAUACAUAAAUGACUUAUAUAUUUAAUCAUAUUUAAUCCAUCUAUUAUGUAUAUAUUCAUAUUUUACAAGUGAGGAAAUCAAGGCUCUUUUAAUGUGACUUGCUCAUUUAAAUGCAUCUAGAAUGUGGCAGUGUUAUGAUAUCAACAUUUUUCAGUGAAAAGACUGCCUGAUCUUGCUGGUUAAGUACAAACGACUCCUCUUUUUUCUCAAUUAUUGGCAAAUAUUUUAGUGAAGUAUAAAUAUACAAAUGCAGUGUCCAUUUGAAGUUUUUGCAAAGCAACCACAGCCAUGAAAAACAGCACCCAGAAUACACCCAGUCCCUCAGAGGCUGCUCUCAUGCCCCAUCCCAUGUAUUGGGUCUCCCCUCCUCAGCCACCAAGGAAAACCAUUGUCUUGUCCUUUGACACCACACACCUCAUUUGAGUGUUUUCAGACAUUAUGUAGUUGAAAUCAUAAAGUAUGUACUUCCUUGUGUAUUUGUAUAUAUUAGGAGCUUAUAAAUAGAUUUUUUAUGAAUAUUUUUUAACUGAAUGUAUGUAUUAUCUCAGAUGAUGUUAAUUGGUUCUGUGUGAUGAGCUGUUUUGUUCGCCCCUGAUGAGUCAAGAAGGCUGCCUUUAAAUGAAGAUGAAUACACGUCUGUCAAAGGGAAGUUAUGCUUGAUUUGGAGCCCUGUUUGAACAGGUCAAUUAAUCAGAAUCGUAGUGGUAAAAUAUUGCCACUUUCAGGAAUCAUUGCAGGUGGUAUUAAAUUAUAGAGUCUAGUCUUGAUGUUUAUGAAUAACUCAUAAUAAAUAAAUAGACUUAGUAUUUUUACAGAGUGACUAAUAGAAUUUGACUUAUUCCUGUGGGCUGAUUUAAUGUGUUCAAUCAGCUGCCAGGAAUGAGUGCCAGAGAAUUGCCAGCAAACGAAGUCAGGAAGAGGCAUUUCUAUUAAGGGAGGAUAGGGCCUUGCUCUUAAUGGAUAAAACCAUCAGACCGUUUACGCAAACCAGGUGGGUCUCAUCAACGUGGAGAUGUUCCUCCUCUGCUGGGCAGGUGGCUUUGUCAACUAGGCAGUUUGGUUUUCUAGUGUAGCGUGUGAGCUACUGUUGCUGUUGAAGAAGAAGCCACAACAGACUGGAUCUCAAAUGUCUCAGUUUCCUCAUCUGUGAAACGGGGCUGAUGCCGGGCCUGCCUCCCUUUGUUGUUGUGAGGAUUCCAUGAGAGUCCCUGGUGCAUAGCAAGCCCUCAGUCAGUAUUAGCUAACGUAGAGAUAGGCUAAUGUAGAAGUAGGAAUAGGGCUGCCCCAUGGCAUUUUUUUGAGGGGCUCCAGGAGAGUUCCAUCUACAAAAAUAUUUAUGACAAUCUCCAGCAUUUCUAAGAGAUUUCCUACUGUUUUUGGUAAAUAUCAGGGCAACACCUCAGAGGGCAAAUGUGUCAGAGCAACCCACUGAGACUCACUGGAUCUCUUCUCACGUGUCUGUUCCUUCUUCCUAUGUCCUCUCACUAUUCUGUUACCUUGUAAAGACUGUCUAUUUGCCAUCUGGACACCUGCUCUGGAGCUUCAUACACCUGUAUCCAACUGUCUGUGUGAUAAAUUUAGUUGAAUAUCUUACAGACAGCUCAAGCUGGACGUGUUCAAAUCCAGCUUCAUCAUCUCCCCUUCAGCUAGAUUAACUCAUCACUCACUCCUACACUGGUCAGAGACAUAUUCAAUGCCUGUACUCCAUUAGGCACUGGGAAUACUUUGAUAUACACCAUGGACCUGGUCCCUGCUUUCAUGCAGCUUGCAGUCCAGUGGUGCAUUUGGACAGUUCAGAGCUGUGACAGGAGGAUGAAUUAAUCCAGAUGGGUAGUCAGGAGGACUUUCUAAGGAAGUCAGUUCUAAGAAAAGACCUGAAUGAAGAAAGCUAGGCAGGUCACCAUCAGUGCCUAAGUGAGCACAAAAUGGCAUUAGGAUUAUUUCCUGUCCCUCAUGUCCCAUGUGCAUUCAUAAAAGCUUGUUGUCUCAGAUACACAUGGUGUGAUUGUGUGUAAGAACAAGAACGUUUACGAAUAUAUAAUACAUGCCACAUAAUUUCUCAGCAGUAUUUACUAUUCACCACAACCCAAUGAGGCAAAUCUUAUAAUUGUUCCCAUUUUAUAGGUGAGAAAAUUAAGGCAUGAAAAACAGUUUAAUUAACUGUGCCCAAUUUCACACAGCAUGUAAAUAGAUUCAUAUUAUGGUGUGUUGUAGAACUUACAUUCUUAUCCACUCUGCCACCUUCACCUUCUCCAGCCCAUCCUCUCCUCCCCUUUCCCUAAUGGUCUCAUACAGGGUCCUCCCUCUGGCCUGGCCUCCCAGUGAUUCCACCUACCUGCAUUUUUGCUCUUGUCAAACAAUCUCCCUACACUAUUACUAGGGUAAUCUUUCUAAAAUACGACUCUGCUCACAUAAUCCUGUCCUGCUAACAUUCUGCAAUAUUUUGUCCAAAGCAGCAAGCAGAGUCAAGUUCAGAGCUUUCAUCUUCCAUCUCUGACACUCUGUGGGCAAUGGAUCCCCCAUUUCCUACCCCAGCAGCAUUGCUCACUGCUCCCAAUUUGCAUCCCAAAGUUUUUCCAAACUGACCCUGGGUCUCUUACGUUUUUGGAUCAGCACAGUCUCACUUCCUCUUUUGUUUGCCAAGUCCCUCUCCUCUUUUUGUUGGACUGCUUCUUGCAUGUGCUUCAGAAUUUUCUUCCUUCCCUCGUCCUGCACUCCCUCCCAAGUCUGGAUGAAGAGUCUCUACUGCCUGUUCUCACAGCACACACUGCUCCAGCCCUGCAGGCAUCACCUACCACGAAUGAAUUUCCCAUUUCUUGUCUCUCUGCUUCACUAGACUUUGAACCUUGUGUAGGCAAGGAUUGCACUUAUUUAUUUUUACAUUUCCAGCCCAUUGCUUGACCCACAGUAGCGUUCAAUGGAUGACGAAAGAAUGAAUAAAUAAAAGGAUGUCAUAUAGAGGAGCAAGGCCCUGGGGCAAUGGGACCGAGAAUGGAUGGGCCUUGACUGAUAGAAGCAGAGGGUGUGAACUAGCCGAUCAGGGGGUACCUUGCCUAUAGUUGGAGGAAUUUAACAGAGGUCAACACACAGUCAUGUAUCAGUAAUUGGUGUGAUGAAGGAAUGUAGAGAGAAGCCCUAGUGACUCUGUGGCUGGCAUCUCAGUGUACCUCUGGUCAGCUAUGGUUUUUAAAAAUUAUUCUUUUACUAAUAUGAGCCAUAGAAUCAUUCAAGUUGAUUAACAGUGAAAAAAAUCAGUCUUAUCAUCUUUCUUUCUUUUCUUCCUUCCUUUGUUUGUUUUAUUAUUAUUUUUCUCUUUUUAGGGCCUCACUAGUGGCAUAUGGAAGUUCCUGGGCUACGGGUCUAAUUGGAGCUGCAGCUGUAGGCCUAUUCCACAGCUUGUGGCAACACCAGAUCCUUAACCAAUGAGCGUGGCCAGGGAUCAAACCCAUAUCCUCAAGGAUACUAGUUAGGUUCUUAGCCCGCUGAGCCACAAUGGGAACUCCUCUUCCUUCUUUUAUUAACAUAACCUUUAAAACUUCCAAAAUGAAUAGGUGUGCUUUGUUGAAAAUAAAAACAGAUAAGCCAAAGUUUGGAAACUAUUAUUGUAUUAGUGUGUUAGGGCUGCUGUUAUAAAGUACCGUAGAUUGGGCAGCUUUACUAAAACAACAGAAAUUAAUUUUCUGACAGUUCUGGAGGCUAAAAAGUCCAAAAUCAAGGUGUUGGCAGGAUGUCCCUUUGACAAGGAUUUUGAAGGGAAACCUGUAGGGGGGGGAUUUCUUCCUGCCUCUUCCCAGUCCAUCUUGGCUUGCAGCUCAUCAUUCUAAUCUCUGCCCCUGUCUUCAUGUGGCUUCUCUCUGGGAGUCUCUUCUCUUCCUAAAAGGAAAACAGUGUAUUAGAUUCAGGAAGAACUCUAUUCCCCUAUGACAUCCUCUUAACUAAUGACAUAUGGUGGGACCCUAUUUCCAAAGGAGGUCACCUUCUGAGGUCCUAGGGGUUAGGCCUCCAACAUCUUUUGGAGGGGGCACCAUGAUUCAACCUGUAACGCUAUAUUUCUACUGCUCCAAGGUAACUACUGAUAACAUAUAUCACAUAUCAUAUAUGACAUACAUAUGAUAACAUGUAUCAGUUUAUCAUAUAUGUCCCCACAUCUUAAAGAAUGCACAUAGCAUAUAUUUUUCCACAUCUUAAAAAAUGCAUAUAUGUAUCAUAUAUUUUCCCAUAUCCUAAAAAAUGUGUAAUACUUAUCUGCAGUUUUUAACCAAAAUGAGAUGGUACUAUAUAUGGCGUUUGGUAAGUCUGCUUUUUUUCCUUUCUUUCUUUUUUCUUUUUUUUUCCAGUUAAUGAUCUAAGGAGAUUAACUUUUAUUAUCUGAUUUCUUUUGUUUCACUUUGCAACCCUUGUUUUCUGGCUUAUUUACUGUGGCUUUUAGCUAUUACAUCUGAAAUGUGAUCCUAUAAUGCUCUUUUGAAUUGCUAAGCAUAUUUUCUGAUUAUUAAGGAAAGUUGCUGGGUUUCCUGUGGGGAUAAGAAAGAAAAAAAAUGAAACGGAUUUAAAGGCCCCAUUUCAUUAUGCAUAAUCCACGUAAGCAUGUCCGCUGGAUGGUUCUGCUCUAAUUGACACUCAGAAAUUGAAGGCCAGGCUGAGCUUCCACUCUCCACCCCAGUGGAGGGGGGCUGAGGUCGAGUGUGACCCUUGUCCGAAUCUCCCUGAUUAGAUUCAAUGAGCUGUGUGCCUAAUGAAUCCAAAGGCUCAUUUGUUCCAAGGAACUUUUUCUUAACCUUUCUUUCCUCUACCUAAUGCAAAAGUCUGUGAGGAAAAUACAAAGGAAGAGAGCUUUGCUGCUGGAGCAUAAUUUAGAUAAUUGUGCAAGUGAACUAAAAAUGAGACAUGUUAGAAAAGAGAGGAUCUUAUCUGAUCUUUAUUUUUUCUUUCUCUCUCCCUUUUUCCCUUUUGCAGCUGACCCUGGUGCUUUUCAGAAAUACGAACAUGUUU
Molecule: long non-coding RNA, 6373 nt
Filed under: Sus scrofa (pig)
Lineage: Eukaryota; Metazoa; Chordata; Mammalia; Artiodactyla; Suidae
Description: lncRNA (ENSSSCG00000059580.1)
Source: RNAcentral